Molecule: ribosomal RNA, 80 nt
Filed under: Stryphnodendron adstringens
Lineage: Eukaryota; Viridiplantae; Streptophyta; Magnoliopsida; Fabales; Fabaceae
Description: partial 28S ribosomal RNA
Rfam family: Eukaryotic large subunit ribosomal RNA
Source: RNAcentral
CAGGUCAGGCGGGGCUACCCGCUGAGUUUAAGCAUAUCAAUAAGCGGAGGAAAAGAAACUAACAAGGAUUCCCCUAGUAA